This 708-nucleotide ribosomal RNA is filed under the name Fermentozyma sake. Its description in RNAcentral is "LSU rRNA". It matches the Rfam family "Eukaryotic large subunit ribosomal RNA", at positions 1 to 692 of the family's 3401-position model. The record is from RNAcentral. Lineage: Eukaryota; Fungi; Ascomycota; Pichiomycetes; Serinales; Debaryomycetaceae.
ACUAUUAGGUUUUACCAACUCGUUAUACUAAUCUACAAGUUUGACCUCAAAUCAGGUAGGACUACCCGCUGAACUUAAGCAUAUCAAUAAGCGGAGGAAAAGAAACCAACCGGGAUUGCCUCAGUAACGGCGAGUGAAGCGGCAAAAGCUCAAAUUUGAAAUCUGCGUAAGCCGAGUUGUAAUUUGAAGAUGGCUACUUUGGUAAUGGCUCUUGUCUAUGUUCCUUGGAACAGGACGUCACAGAGGGUGAGAAUCCCGUGCGAUGAGAUGUCCAUUACCGUGUAAAGUGCUUUCGAAGAGUCGAGUUGUUUGGGAAUGCAGCUCUAAGUGGGUGGUAAAUUCCAUCUAAAGCUAAAUAUUGGCGAGAGACCGAUAGCGAACAAGUACAGUGAUGGAAAGAUGAAAAGAACUUUGAAAAGAGAGUGAAAAAGUACGUGAAAUUGUUGAAAGGGAAGGGCUUGAGAUCAGACUUGGUAUUUUGUAUGGCUUGCUUUCGGGCGGGUCCUCUGCAGUUUACUGGGCCAGCAUCGGUUUGGGUGGCAGGAUAAUAGCAUAGGAAUGUGGCUCUACUUCGGUGGAGUGUUAUAGCCUUUGUUGAUACUGCCUGCCUAGACCGAGGACUGCGUCUUUUGACUAGGAUGCUGGCAUAAUGAUCCUAAGCCGCCCGUCUUGAAACACGGACCAAGGAGUCUAACGUCUAUGCGAGUG